Molecule: non-coding RNA, 175 nt
Filed under: unclassified sequences
Description: raiA RNA
Rfam family: raiA RNA
Source: Rfam by way of RNAcentral
UGAUUCCGUGUCUGUGGUUGAAAAUCCAGGCCAGUCGCAGGCAAAAGGAUCCACGUAAGCAGACCGUUCGCGGGCUGUGAGCAUGGUGCGGUUUAGAUGUAAGACCUGCGGAAAAUACUAUACCCUUCAUGUCCGCAGGCGAGUGUGGGGGCAAAGACCAGGUCAGACGGAAUCU